RNAcentral lists this ribosomal RNA (402 nucleotides) under uncultured bacterium. RNAcentral's name for it is "bacterial SSU rRNA". It matches the Rfam family "Bacterial small subunit ribosomal RNA", at positions 28 to 422 of the family's 1533-position model. The record is from RNAcentral.
GAUGAACGCUAGCGGCAGGCUUAAUACAUGCAAGUCGAGGGGCAGCAUGACUGUAGCAAUACAGUUGAUGGCGACCGGCAAACGGGUGCGGAACACGUACGCAACCUACCCAAAACUGAGGAAUAGCCCGGGGAAACCCGGAUUAAUACCUCGUAACAUAAUUGAGUGGCAUCAUUUAAUUAUUAUAGCUCCGGCGGUUUUGGAUGGGCGUGCGCCUGAUUAGAUAGUUGGCGGGGUAACGGCCCACCAAGUCUGCGAUCAGUAACUGGUGUGAGAGCACGACCAGUCACACGGGCACUGAGACACGGGCCCGACUCCUACGGGAGGCAGCAGUAAGGAAUAUUGGUCAAUGGACGCAAGUCUGAACCAGCCAUGCCGCGUGAAGGAUGAAGGUCCUCUGGA